UUCAUUUCGAAAAGAUCCCUCAACUUCGUACUUUUUGAUUGAGACUCCUUGACUUCCUAAUUCACUUAUAAUUUUAUCAAAUUUUAUGAUUUUAAUCACUUUUUAGUGAAUGAAGCUGAAAUAAUUAAUGAUUAAUCGCUAAUUUAACCACAAAUUUUACCAAGACUUUUAACUUAAAGUAACUAGAAUAAUUUAGUUCCAAAAAUUUGAAAGUUAAAGGGCUUCUCAAUCCAAAAAAGAAUAAAAAUUGAGGGGUCAUUUUAGAAUCGCCUAUAGUACGUGGAGGUUUCCAUACAUUUUUACCAUAAGAAUGAGAUAUAUCAUGUACUCGGAAUAGGUCUAUGAGUGCACCUCAUCAUCUCACGGUGGUAUUGUAUAAGGCAACUUGCGUGACUUGUUAUAACAUGGCACCUUGGGUGUCAAACAGUUUGAAAUUGCAUGUAAUACUCCUUGCAGAAAUGCAACAUUGCAUAUAUAUCCCUUCAAUGUUUAUAUUUGUAUGUGCCAAUAGAAUAUGUAUAUAUUUGCAUCCAUGCGCCCAUAGCAUGAUGGUAUGGUUGAUGUGCAAAUAAAUACAAUUUCCAACAGCGCUACUUCCGAACUUGCAAAUACUAUGUAGACGUAUAUGCAAUUUCAACAUUUUGCAGGGUUAUAUAUGUACAAAAUACCCAACAUUAAUUUAUUGCUCUUUGAGAUCUGAAUCAACAUUAGUCCUCUUCGGUCAUGAUUUCAAAUGGAUUUCAGGGAGUUUGUUGACAUGCCAACUAUAAUUCAGGUGAAUAGUGGUAUUUGCGUUUAUUCUGUUCAAAUAUGUUAUUGAUUACAUAUUCUGUUUUAAAUAGUGGUAUUCAGGAUAUUUACAGUUUGGAAUGAUAUAAUAUCUUUUUACAAAUGGUUUCCAUGCUGCUGUAGACUCAUUGCUGUCUGUUGUAACAGUAGUCGGCACACCUAUAUACAAACCCGUUGGUAUAAACCUUUCAGCGUAGCAGCUCUAUAGAAGCAGUUUUGGCUGCUAAUACACAUCAUUAUUUUCAAAUUGAUUUGUCUUUUCCAUAAAAUAUUUGCAACUUGCUGAAAUUUAUAUCUAUGGAUUGGGAUGAAGUAGCUGGUUGCUAUCUUUAGUUGCUUUUCUGUACUUAUUUGUAUAGGAUAAGAAACUGGUUGUAUCUAUGAUAGCUUUUGUGCACUCUAUGGUAUAGGAUAAGCUAACUGCUGCUUUUUUUCAAAAUAUGAGACCAUCAAGUUAAGCUGCAGGAGAAGGCUUUGUUAUUAAAUAUAAAAAUUAUAUAAAUAUCGUUUUCUAACAGCUUAACCUUUUAGAGUACAACGGUUGUUUCACAUAGUAUCAGAGCAUGAGAUCCUGAGUUCGAGUCAUGUCAUUGCUUAGGAUACAUUUGUCUGGCGCAGAACAAUGUAUUAAAUAACAGGUUAAUUAAAAAAACGUUCCCACUUAGUUUUUAUGUUUUUCUAGAGGUGCAUAUGUUGUGAAAAUUCCACCAUUAGAGCUAGUUUAAACUAUAUCUUUCAAGUUGUGUUUUAAAGCUAGUUUAAAAUUCCCUUGCUCUGCAUUUUUCCUUAUUUUGAAGCGACUUUCUAAAGCUAGUUUUAAACUUUUGAUAGGAUUUAAUUCCCUUAUCUUUCAAAAGUGGGGAAAAAAACAGGCAGUGUAAAAUACGGUAAUCUUCGUGUAUGCCAAUUUUUGUUUACAAUAAUUAUUAUUAGGAUUUUUUAAGAUAAUACAUAAAAGUUGUAUCGUAAUUUUUUUU
Long non-coding RNA from Ananas comosus (pineapple), 1766 nucleotides. RefSeq lists it as uncharacterized. The transcript has 2 exons. Lineage: Eukaryota; Viridiplantae; Streptophyta; Magnoliopsida; Poales; Bromeliaceae. The record is from RefSeq and is a predicted model, not a curated record.